This 974-nucleotide long non-coding RNA is filed under the name Equus asinus (donkey). Its description in RNAcentral is "lncRNA (ENSEASG00005035190.1)". Lineage: Eukaryota; Metazoa; Chordata; Mammalia; Perissodactyla; Equidae. The record is from RNAcentral.
CCUGCUCACUGAGCACACUGUGCCAGGCCCCUUGUGGGAAUUCUCUCAUGAAUCCUUGUAACUCUGCGAAAAAGGUCCAUGUACUUUGGAGCCGGUGUGUUGUGUCCAUGGAUGUGCGAGACUCCUCCCCAGGAACCCAGGACCCAGCUGAGGCCUCCUCCAGGGAAAACAUGGAUGGCAUAAAAAGGUAACUGAGGGAGACCUUGUGAGAGGAAACAAUGACCGCGUCCUGACCGGCUCUGUGGUGCUGAGCUCCUGCAGGUAGCGUCUACGUGCGGGGCAGGUUUGUAGGAAUCAUGAGUGGACGAGGCAGGGAGGAGCUCAGAAGGAGGACAGGAACUGGGCUGGAAGCCUCGAGCAGGAGGAGCGCUGCUGCAUCCACACUGGCCACGCUCUGGCCGACCCCCCACGUCCGUGCCCGCAGCACAGCGCCUCGUGCCCUGUCCUGAUGUCGCUAGGAAGUGGGCGAGGGUGCAGGAUAAAGAGAUGACGCUUGGCAGCAAGAGAACUCCUUGGUGAUUUGAGGCUUGGGGUGGACAGCAAGGAGAGGCUGCAAAGUCUUAUUCCUUAGGGAAGAGGCCAGGCCGGAUGAUUGCUCUCUGGGUUAAGAGUUACUAAGGGCCACCCCAGGAAGAGGAAUGAGGGGAGGGGCAGAAAGAGCGGGUAGUAGAGGGAAAAGGGGGAGAGAAAGGCAGAAAGAGAGAGACGAAGGGAGAGAGGGAGGGAGGGAGAGGAGAAAACGUCGACGGGUACGAAGGCAGUGGCCCAGCGGCAUCUGUGACCCCGUCCGAGCUGCGCCCUGCCCCAUCCAUCCCGGCUGAGGAGAGUUGGUACACUCUUACCGGAGCCGGCCACAGAGUUGGAGCAGGAACCAGGGCUCCCAGUGCCCAAAGCUGCCCUUUGAGUUGGUGGAGGGUGGGGGGUCCAGAGGAGGGCCUGGGGGAUGGUGGGGGGCACACAUGGGGGAGGUGGGG